UACGUAGGGGGCAAGUGUUGUCCGGAAUUAUUGGGCGUAAAGCGCGCGCAGGCGGUUCAUUAAGUUGGGUGUUUAAGCCCGGGGGCUUCAACCCCGGUUCGCAUCCAAAACUGGUGGACUUGAGUGUAGGAGAGGAAGGUGGAAUUCCACGUGUAGCGGUGAAAUGCGUAGAGAUGUGGAGGAACACCAGUGGCGAAGGCGACUUUCUGGCCUAUAACUGACGCUGAGGCGCGAAAGGCGUGGGGAGCAAACAGG
This 255-nucleotide ribosomal RNA is filed under the name uncultured bacterium. RNAcentral describes it as "partial 16S ribosomal RNA". It matches the Rfam family "Bacterial small subunit ribosomal RNA", at positions 524 to 776 of the family's 1533-position model. The record is from RNAcentral.